UGGGGAAUUUUGGACAAUGGGCGCAAGCCUGAUCCAGCCAUGCCGCGUGCGGGAAGAAGGCCUUCGGGUUGUAAACCGCUUUUGUCAGGGAAGAAAUCUUCUGAGUUAAUACCUCGGGAGGAUGACGGUACCUGAAGAAUAAGCACCGGCUAACUACGUGCCAGCAGCCGCGGUAAUACGUAGGGUGCAAGCGUUAAUCGGAAUUACUGGGCGUAAAGCGUGCGCAGGCGGUUUUGUAAGACAGAGGUGAAAUCCCCGGGCUCAACCUGGGAACUGCCUUUGUGACUGCAAGGCUUGAGUGCGGCAGAGGGGGAUGGAAUUCCGCGUGUAGCAGUGAAAUUGCGUAGAUAUGCGGAGGAACACCGAUGGCGAAGGCAAUCCCCUGGGCCUGCACUGACGCUCAUGCACGAAAGCGUGGGGAGCAAACAGGAUUAGAUACCCUGGUAGUCCACGCCCUAAACGAUGUCAACUGGUUGUUGGGAAGGUUCCUUCUCAGUAACGUAGCUAACGCGUGAAGUUGACCGCUGGGGAGUACGGCCGCAAGGUUGAAACUCAAAUGAAUUGACGGGGU
Molecule: ribosomal RNA, 571 nt
Filed under: uncultured bacterium
Lineage: Bacteria
Description: partial 16S ribosomal RNA
Rfam family: Bacterial small subunit ribosomal RNA
Source: RNAcentral